AACAGAAACGAAAUCUGAAAACAAAGCAAAAGCGGUGAGUCCCACAUUCGACGGACAGAGAGAUCUGCCCACUCCAAGUGUUUAUGGCUUCCUGGGUAUAAUUAGGGCAACCCACGUGGGGCUCAAAUGGAUGGGCUGAGACUAUCUGAUGCCACUAAUUACUGUUUAUUGGGUUUUGCCUGUGUCACGAGCAUUCUCACUGUGAGAGGCCUUGAGGUACGAGAGGAACGGGAAACCACCUUGGUGGUGAUGUGCUCCUCAGGAACGCGCUGGCUGGUGCGCACAACGCCCAAAGGUGCUGCUGGACCAGAGUGGGAAAGACACCCACUCCGUGUGGCCGGGGACCCACGGAGCUCAGCCAGUGUUGGGAUGUAGGGAGGCUCUGUGGGUUUACGGCCGAGCCUCAGGCACGUGAGAGCUUCCUCCGACUGCAGAAAUGAAACUCCGGAGCCCUCCCUGUCCGGGGUCAAGUUCCCACGAGACACGGGUCUGGGAAGACGGAAUAAAACACAAAGGCUUUUGUUUUCAGAGCCUGUCGCAACAGCAUCGCUGAAGAAGGAAUGCGAUGUGUGCCCCAUACGAGGAAGGGAAGAACAGCCUUGAACGUAUUCCUGACUCAAAAGCACUGUGGGGACAGUCCCACGGCCAGAGGUGACGGAGGUGGGCCAGCCGCUGAGGACCCGGGACCAUGGACGUCUCCGUUCUCAGCACACAGACCCUUCCGACCGCACGCAGCCCGUUUUGCAUGACGUCACUUCUCUGGGUCACUGUUAUGUCAAGGGUCCAGACUAAGCCCUCCCCCACCCCCCAUGGAAGCCUGAGACCCUGAUUGCAUCUUGGAAGAUGCCCCUGUGUCUGAAAUAUCAUUCUCUGCAGAAGGGGACGGAAUGUCCUUGGGAGGAAGAUACAGAAGCGAUCGGUUUCUCUGUUCACCCUGCAAGUCCGGUUCAGAACAGCCAUAGGCAAUCGGGGCAUAGUCCUCAGUAAAUGCAGAUCACACUGGAAGUUUCCAGUAUGUGCUCUGAAAACAUCCCAUCCCAUCGCUCACAAGAACAGAGAGAUAGAUCCCACAUUAUCUGCAGAAAGCAGGAAUGAUGCCCGUGGCUCACGCCUGGAAUCAAACCCAGAUAUGUGACCGCGAAGUAUGCUUCGUGCACCAGCGAGCAGUGCAAGACUUUUCCGGGGACGGUGGAAAGCUGUAGUUUACCUGAAGUUCUUCGACUCUCCCCCAAAAUGCAUUCGAUCGGUGAAUAUGAGUGAAGCCAGAAGAAUCUUCACCUCAUCCAUUUUCCUGAACAUCACCUCCUGGACUUGUCAGAGCCACCCACACAGGGACUUUCGCCACCUACGGUCAACCCCACCCCGGCACUUCCUGCUGGUGUUUGCAGACAAACCUGUCUGAGUUCUACUCAGUCUUGAUGUGUAAACAAGGCAUGGCUUGAGGUUUUGGGAGUUCAGGGUGGGUUUCGUUGUUUUUUGUAUUAAUAAAACAGGUUUAAAGAAA
Molecule: long non-coding RNA, 1504 nt
Organism: Hyaena hyaena (striped hyena)
Lineage: Eukaryota; Metazoa; Chordata; Mammalia; Carnivora; Hyaenidae
Exons: 2
Source: RefSeq, a predicted model, not a curated record